This 338-nucleotide unclassified non-coding RNA is filed under the name soil metagenome. RNAcentral's name for it is "partial contains 5.8S ribosomal RNA, internal transcribed spacer 2, and large subunit ribosomal RNA". The stretch from base 1 to 120 matches the Rfam family "5.8S ribosomal RNA", at positions 35 to 154 of the family's 154-position model. The record is from RNAcentral.
GAUGAAGAACGUAGUGAAAUGCGAUAAGUAAUGUGAAUUGCAGAAUUCAGUGAAUCAUCGAAUCUUUGAACGCACAUUGCGCCCUCUGGUAUUCCGGAGGGCAUGCCUGUUCGAGCGUCAUUUCGACCCUCAAGCAUUGCUUGGUGUUGGGGCACCGCCUGUAAAAGGGCGGGCCCUGAAAUCUAGUGGCGAGCUCGCCAGGACCCCGAGCGUAGUAAUUAUAUUUCGUUCUGGAAGGCCCUGGCGGUGCCCUGCCGUUAAACCCCCAACUUCUGAAAAUUUGACCUCGGAUCAGGUAGGAAUACCCGCUGAACUUAAGCAUAUCAAUAAGCGGAGGA